Molecule: non-coding RNA, 109 nt
Organism: Acanthosepion pharaonis
Lineage: Eukaryota; Metazoa; Mollusca; Cephalopoda; Sepiida; Sepiidae
Source: the annotation of a GenBank genome assembly
AUACGGCCAUAUCACGUUGAAACAUUGGUCCCCGUAUGGUCACCGAAGUUAAGCAACGUCAAGCCUUAUUAAUACAUAGAUGGGUGACAUCCUGGGAAUACCAAGUGCU